UUUAAAGUUUCUUGUUGACGGAAAGUUCUAAAUAUAUUGAUUAAUUUUUGUAAUUGUCAGUUUAUCAUACGUAUUUCUGUCUCGCCGAUGGUAAAAGAUACUGUGUUGACAUAAAGGUUAUGGCAAGUAAAGGCAGCAAAUCAAAGGGUUCAUCAUGGUUCACUCCAACAUUAGACGACUUUGGACUGACGUCUCCAACCCUGAGUGAGAGGAAACCAAAGAAGAGGCCCAGAGAAGCCGAAAUCUUUAGUCAGUGUGGGAAGAAAGUCCAACAGG
This is a non-coding RNA of Penaeus vannamei (Pacific white shrimp), 276 nucleotides long. Lineage: Eukaryota; Metazoa; Arthropoda; Malacostraca; Decapoda; Penaeidae. The record is from RefSeq and is a predicted model, not a curated record.